Molecule: long non-coding RNA, 1934 nt
Organism: Eucalyptus grandis
Lineage: Eukaryota; Viridiplantae; Streptophyta; Magnoliopsida; Myrtales; Myrtaceae
Exons: 3
Source: RefSeq, a predicted model, not a curated record
UAGAGUUCGGUUGUCAGACUCCACCAAAGCCUCCCCCAAUUUUUUUAUGUUUUAAGUACUUCAAGGCUUCGAGAACCCCUAGGGUUUCCAGCUGAAGAACCGUUUCCGCCCGAAUGAGCUUCGUGAAUCCAUCGACAAGGCUACCGGAGGAGUCCUGGACGAUGCAAGACACUACUCCUUUCGUCGAUCCCUCACAUAGCGACCCAUCUACAUUAAGCUUAAAGGAACCGGCUUCCAGAGCUUGCCAGAUCUAUCACUUUGCAGGCAUCCGGUUUAGUACCUCGAAAAAUAAAGUUGUUGUGCUCCUUCCAUAUUUGCCAAAGAAGGUUUCCAAUCGUUUCCAGAGAUGGGAGGUUCGUAUUUUUUCUUAUAAAUUGUACCAAUCACUCAUCCGUUCGUUUAACCUCCUGUGUGUCUACUCAUAGGUUGAUUUCCAAGUGGUUCCAUACCCUUGCAGUCCAGGGAUAGAGAAGAAGAGUGUGUUCAACCGUUUCCACCCUAUCUCAGCAAAGAUCACAGACCAGAUCAUGUUUGGCAAUAUCUUUAAGGGUGGACAUUUGUCCAUGUAUAUGCUUUGGCAGGACAAGAAAUUCUCCAGACUCAAUGUCACGAAGCUCAAUGUACCAGUUGUUUUUGGUCAAACAAUGGAGCAGUUGAUGUUCAACUCUUUUAGGGUCUCGAAGCACGACAAUUUUGGUAAUCUUUCCAGGGACUUACAUGACCAAAGAUCCAACUUUUCCGAGAACUUCAAUCUAUCAAGGCCUCAAAUCUCAAUUAGACUUUUGCAAUAUGCAGGCUUUAUGUCCUUUAAACGCUUUCAUUUUGCAAGGUUCAAUCUCAAAAUGGAUGUGCAAUCAGUGAUAUGCAGUGCUUCCAAGAACUCCGAACGAUAAAUGCCUCAAAUUUCAACUAGAUUUUUGCAAUAUCUAGCAGUCAACUGUUUAGAUGAUUUGGUUUUGGAAGGUCCAGUCUUCCAAUAAAACAACAGAAAUCUACAUCCAAUUCUUCCAAGUGCUUCAACCUGUCAAGACCUUGAACUUCGACUAGAUUGUCUUCCAUAUCUAAUGGAGUGCUUGAUCCAUAGUUCUCACUCAUUGGCACGCAUCUCAGGGACUCUGCACAUUGUCUAAGGCCAUCCAGCUUAGUCAACUUCAUGCGACCUGCUAUGGUCAACGUCGUUGGGGAUAUUGCAACGUGUCGGCGUUCGCUUUGCAUCAUUUUAGGGCAUUCAUAGGGCUCAAAUCCUAGCAAGCAUUUCAACUUGCCACAUCUUGUGACAUGAAGCUUCAAUAGUCUUGGAGGAAGCUCUGGGAGAUUUUCCAACGAUAUGCAAUCAUAAACAGUGAGUUCUCUUAGAUGAAUUUGGUAAAAAAGUGGAGGUAAAAACUCUUAGUGACUUGCAGAAAGUCUAACCUAGAAGGAAGCUCAGGCAGUGAUUGAAGCUUUUGGCAGCCCCUAAGUUAAGAUGUUGCAGAGAAGAAAGAUUCCGAGUGCCUUCUGGCAAGCCAGAAUCGGAUGUAUAUGUUGGAAGCUUCAUGAGUGAAGACAAGUUAUUAAAAUCACUUGGAAUUUCCCCUUUUAUUCUAAUGCAACUUGAAGCAUCCAAUUGCGGGAGUUUCCCCAACCUUCCAAUUGCACCUCGCAACUUUUCGAUCCUGGUAGAAAAAAUCUUCAGGAUUUCCAAAUUAUGCAAAUCUCCAAUGGAAGAUGGUAGUUACGUUACGCUUGUGCUGGAUAGGUCGAGUUUAGUUAGGGAUUCCAUCUUCCCAAUGGAGUUUGGGAUCUGUGUCGAUGGGCAGCAGAGUGUAGAAGUCGCGCACAAAUGGUAAGCUCUGCAACUUCUUAAGGUGCCCAAUGUUGCCUGGAAGUUCGGCCAUUCCCUCACAAUUGCAUAAAUUCGAGGAUCAAUAGAUUCACUGGAUGGCUUAUGGAGU